Maniola jurtina (meadow brown) is the source of this 1722-nucleotide long non-coding RNA. RefSeq lists it as uncharacterized. The record is from RefSeq and is a predicted model, not a curated record. The transcript has 2 exons. Lineage: Eukaryota; Metazoa; Arthropoda; Insecta; Lepidoptera; Nymphalidae.
ACACUUAACUGUUCUGUUCCCAACAUAUUCCAAACAUCAAAACAAAAUAUUUAAUAUACAACCAGUGUCCUCAAAACAAACUUGAAAGAGAAAUUUAAACUAAAUAGGUGACUUGUUUUAUUUCGCCAAGUACAAAAUCUUAUUAGAAACAGUAUGUUGAAUCCCACUGUGACCAGGACAAUAAUUUCUAGAGGUUUCAAGAAUUUUGGUCAUAAGAGACAACCUGAAUCAACAUUUACUGUUAUGUGGCAUGGAUUUUUAACCUUUACUUUUAUUGGAAUGGGAAUUGAAUGGAAAAGAAUUUCAUCAUACUUUUUUGGUGAUGAUGACACAAGAAGUAUUACAUCAUCUUUAGAGUGAGAUUUAAUUUUAUUUAUACAUGUACUAGUUGGAAUGUAAUUAAAUAUAUUAGAAUAAAUUACCUAUGUGAAACUUACCUACUCAAUACCUUUACUUUAAGUAUUUGCUUUUAAUUUAUUUUUAAAAUUAACUUAGGGCUGGUUUUUUCUUAAAAUUAUUAAGUAAUAAUAUUAAUAGUGACAGUUAAUGAUAUUAAUUUUGUUACUUAAUAACUUUCCAUUCAUCACAAUUAAACAUAAAUGUCAGUAGGGUAAAUCUACAGUUGAGCAAUAUUUAUGACAAAUCCAGUUACUGUUACACAACAUCCCUGCCCUUAACUUAUUUGCUUUCAAAUCAUAUUAAAAAACCAGCCAAGUGCGAGUCAGACUCGCGCUCUGAGGGUUCAGCACUCAGGUAAUUUUUCAGACAUUUUUUUGUGAUAAAUUAAAAACUAUUAUACAUAAAAAUCUGUUUUUAGAAUAUAUAGGUAAAACCCUUUCAUUUUCUACACCUCUUGGUAUAGGUAGUUGAAAAUUGAAACACAUUUUAGUUUACUUUCUGUGAUGUAACCACAAAUUCAUGGUUUUCGGAUUUAUUCCUUUAAUUGUGCUAUAAGAGCCUACCUACCUGCCAAAUUUCAUGAUUCUAGGUCAAUGGGAAGUACCCUAUAGCUUUUCUUGACAGACAACAGACGGAUGGACCGGUGAUGGGUCCAUAAUGAUGAUGAUGAUAUUCUAUUUUAGGGAAUCUGGAUAUUAUGAUACUUGAUAGUGAAAAUCAAUCUGAAGUUUUAGUAAAAGAUACCACGAUAAGAUAAAAUACUUUAUUUAAGCUCACAUAAUUAUUGUUCUUAUGAAUUACUGAUUGCAUUGUUUUAAAUUCUAAAUAAAUAGUACUUAAAACUAGGAUUAUAAAUUUUCAAUAUGAUUUUGCUUUCUUUUGAAAUGUACCUCCUGAAUAUAGUAUUUACCUAGAUAUUGGUAAAGAAAAUAUAAAUCAAUACUUAAUAACAUACUUAACAUUUUUGACAUAAUAUAAAAUAGUAUUUUAUUUAAACCCUAAAUUGAUGGUAAUCUUAUGAUAAAAUACAAUAAUGUUGGUGCACCAAUUAUACUUCAAACCACAAGUUUUAUUUAGUUGACGUAUUAUGAAUGACUACUGUUAAUGUUAGUGUCAGUACUGAAACAUUCCGGAAGCUGUGUACAAAGCCUUAAACUUAUAAAAAAAUUACAGAAGUGAAUUAUCACAUCCUUGCGAGCAUUUUUUAUAGUAGUGAGAAGCACCAAUUUGUUAGAAUAUAGAAAAAUUAAUAAAAAAAUUAAAACAAAUGGCUUUGUGUUACCUUUCAUUAUUUACAUCUUCCUUUUUAGCAGGUAUGUUUAG